Molecule: small nuclear RNA, 163 nt
Filed under: Ochotona princeps (American pika)
Lineage: Eukaryota; Metazoa; Chordata; Mammalia; Lagomorpha; Ochotonidae
Description: U1 spliceosomal RNA (ENSOPRG00000018130.1)
Rfam family: U1 spliceosomal RNA
About the family: U1 is a small nuclear RNA (snRNA) component of the spliceosome (involved in pre-mRNA splicing). Its 5' end forms complementary base pairs with the 5' splice junction, thus defining the 5' donor site of an intron. There are significant differences in sequence and secondary structure between metazoan and yeast U1 snRNAs, the latter being much longer (568 nucleotides as compared to 164 nucleotides in human).
Source: RNAcentral
AUACUUACCUGGCAGGGGGGACACCAUGAUCAGGCAGGUGGUUUUCCCAUGGUGAAGUUCCUCCAUUGCACUUGGGAGGUGCUGACCCCUGCGAUUUCCCCUGCAUGUGGGAAACUCGACUGCAUCAUUUGUGGUAGUGGGGACUGCGUUUGAGCUCUCCCCU